Molecule: long non-coding RNA, 368 nt
Organism: Rosa chinensis
Lineage: Eukaryota; Viridiplantae; Streptophyta; Magnoliopsida; Rosales; Rosaceae
Exons: 4
Source: RefSeq, a predicted model, not a curated record
UCAGGCCGAGGUAAAGGGGCAAUUGAUCACAUGGUUGACUUCUCACCCUUUGCAGCAAGUUUUGACUAAUGAUAUUGACUUCAAUAUCAUGCUAAGCUUUUUGGAGUUUUAUGAGGCUCUUCUUGCAUCUGUGAAUUGUCAUUUAUAUCGUUCCAAAAAUGAGAAGUAUCCACCAAUUCUUGAUCCUUGAUUGGUAGAUAGCAUCAGAAGAGAUACAAACGGUUAAAAGAAAAUCAACGUCUAGAUACCAAGCUGCAAUACUGAAUAUCAAUAAAUGGGGAGAGACACUUCCCAUUUGCUUGGAUUCGAUUGUCCCAGCAUGGUUUGCUAUCUUUGCCGCAGUCAUCCUUGUACUUGCUUUUACGGAG